UGGCUAGGAUUAAAUUUGGGAGAAGCACAAGGAUUGUGCUAGUGUUUAAAUGUGGAGAUUUAGUCUCUUGAACUAAGAAGAAAUCUAUGGCUAUGAUGCAAUCUUGAGAUUUGGCAUGGAUUGAGAAGAAAAGUUCUAUAAAUAGGGAGUGGGGAAAUUGGUUCAAAGUUUUCCCCACAUGUGAAGUGAAAGAAGCAAGAAGGAAAUCAAGACUAAGAGAAGGAAGAGAAAGGCUAGCAAGGGUGAUUAAAGUCUAAGAGAGAUUCUUGGCUUGUGGAAGUGUUGAAGCUUCAAAGAAAACAAGGUGGAGAAUCAUCUAAGGGAAAUGGAGUUUUACAAGGUUGAAGGUAAUGAAGAAAUGGGAAAUGCAUGUGAAGUGUAUGUAUUUUGUGGGUUUAGUGAGAAAUGUGGUAUUUAUUUUGUUAAAUAUGUCAUUAAUGCUUAAUAUGGUUGUAAAGUGGCAAACUUGAAUGUUUUGGAAGCCAUUUGAUGUGAAAAAGCAUUCUGGAAAAUUUGAGUUUAAAAAGAAAAAAAAAUAUUUUUUUUAAAAUAAAAAAAGGUAGGUGGCAGUGUGCUGGUGCCAGGGUGCGGGCUGGGCGCGCCUGGGCACGGCCGGGUGCGGCCGCGCAUGGCAUGCGCGCGCACACGCAGCUGGCGGCCAACGCGGGCGGCCAUGCGCGCGCGCGGCCUGUGCUGGGGGGCGCGGCUGGCUGUCGCACGCCCCCCUGCUGCUGCUGUGGGAUUUUUUUUAUUUUAAUUUUAUUUUAUUUCUGUUUAUUUAAAUAUAUUAUGUUAUUUUGGAAAUUUUGAAAUAAAUUAUAUUUAAAUAAAUAAAUAAAGGAGUAUUUUAGCCUCCAAAUUAAUUUUUAAAUUAAUAUGAAUUUGAGGCAAUUGUGGAAAAAUUUCUAUAUUUUGGGAAAUUAAAAUAGUGGAGUAUUUUUCUUAAAUUUUGAAAUUGGAUGAGGAUGCCUUAAGGUUUGUAUUUCGAAAGAAUUAAUUUCCUAAUGGUUGGAAAAUUAUGGUAUUUUGAAAUAAUUAAAGGGAAAAUCAAUGGAGAUUUAAUGAGGAAAAUUUAUUUAAAUUUUUCCAAAGAAAUAUUAAUCCAAAUAUUUUCCAAAGGAAUUGGAAGUGAGAUAAAUGGGUUAAUGGUUGGGGCAAAGAAAAAGAAAAAAAUUACUCUCUUACAAUUAAGGCAUUAUGCCAUAAUUUAUGUGAAGCAUGGAGUUAGUUUAUUUCUUUCGAUCCUGAGAGGUCACCCUUAGCUCUUCAUUAAAGAGUUUGAGAAGGGGUGAUGAUUGUGAGGUUUCGGGUUUUAAUGGGUCGUUUUGAUAAUUCCUGGACCCUCGAGUGGAGCGAAGAGAGGGCAAAGCCUAGUUCCCACCUAGGUCGUUUCCCGUUGAAACGUAACCAUCUCUUCAUCUUUGCCCUAGUGUGUGAAUAGUAAGUUAGCUAUUCGUGAGUAACACCCGUAGGUGGGAGCGGGGCAUUACAAUGUUUAUUAUACUUAGGUUGUGAUCCUUAGUUUUUGAUUCAUAGAACUUAAAUUGCAUAUUUGAUAUCUAGUAUCAAACUCUUAAGGUUCUCAAUGUUUUGAAUUUAAUGAAAUAACAUUUGAAGAACUUAACAUUUAGAUGUUUGUUUCUUAGAAAGCAAAAUCAUUCAAGUGUUUGAUAAAUUUAGAAAUUGUCAAGCUAUUAAGAUUCUAUCUCAUCAAGCUAUCAAUCGAGUGAUAAUUAUUGAGCUAUAAAUCAAUUCACUCGAAUAAGAGCUUAAAUGUAUUAGAGUAUUAUGUGCAGUAUCCUAUAUCGAUAAUAGAAUGCUUCAAAGUUUAAAGAAUAGACUUCAUAUAUGCUCUGUCGCAGUCAAAUGGCAAAUGAGUUACUUGACUUAUGUGUAUUUCAAGUGAGUUUAUUUGAGAAGGUAAAUAUAGAUGAAUAACUUAUUUGGAUAGUUGUGUUUCAUUGAAAUAUGUUGUGUUUUAUGUUAAGUAGAAUGAUCUUGCUUUGAUCAAGAAAUGAAUGAUUUCAAUUGAGUAACAAGCGUUGUACUCAACUUAUUAUUCUUUGACAAUUCAUAAAAUUCCAUGUUAUUAAAGUAUCUCUUUUGUUUGCCGUAAUAGAGCUUCCUAAGUAUUCAAAUGAAUGUGAUUGGAAAUAUAGUUUUAACCAUAUUUCACAACAACACUUGAGUAAUCAUAUGUUAGUAUUUGAAUAGAUAAGUGCUUGAGGCUAAACUUGUGUAUCUUGAUAGAUAUUGAAGGGGUCAAUUGAGUAUAUGCAUGUUGUUGUCAAUCAUCCUUCUGUCAUUUUUCAUUCAAAUGAUUAUCAUUGUAUUUGAGUUGAUCAUUUAACACUCGAACAAACUAUCUGUUCAAACAAAUGAGAGGAGUGAGUUGAAUCAUCAAGCCUCUUUGCUAGUAUGAUCAAUUGAUUGACAAUUUCUUUCAAAAAAUAGAAAAAUAAUUUAUAGAAUUCGACAAAAGCUCCUAUUGUUGCCUGCAUACAAUAACAAAUUUAGUUGACUAGAAACAUAGUCGUCAAACUAUCUAAAUCUGCAAAAAUAAGAAAAAUUAGAUAAAAAAAAGGUUGAAUAUGAUGAAAGAAAUUGUAUUGAAAUUAGUAUCAGAGAUGUUAUACCUUUUUAGGAAUGAGUGUCUAAUUAUUUAUAGAAAAAUAUAGAGUGAUCUAAAGUAAAAGAGUUUUAAAAACAAAAUAAACAAGAUGACAAAGAGUCUUAAUUAGCAUGUUGAAAUGUUACUUUGAUGAGCUCAAUUUCUCUUCAUGCUAAUACCAAUUUUAAUUGGUCUUAGUUGUCUCAAGGUAGUCUAUAAAUUUAUCAUAUCUCAUUAUAUUAGGUCCAAAUGUUGACAAGAAACUAAACAUUUUGAUUGAGUGAUUGCAUCCAUGCGAUAAAUAUAACUACUGAAUUAGCAUCUUAUCAUGUACAAAACACAUAAUAGAUAACUUUAUUCAUACUCAGAUAUGGUAGUAUGAAAUCUGACUUGAACAUACAACUCAAGUCCACCCAACCUCUCCCUACUGUUUUCCCCUUUCAAAGAGGUACAAAGCCAGUUAACAUAUGGAUAGAUCACAUACAUAUAUAUUAGAUGCAAGCAUACAACUAAAUAUAUAAUCGGCAAAACUGCUCCUGUUGUAGUGAUGGUUAUCAUAAUAACCAAGACUAGGUUCUAGGGGAAUACUUCAUAGAGAGAAUGUAAUCGACGAGGGGUUUGAGCUCAGCCUCACUGAUCUUUCCAUCUCCAUCCCUAUCUACAUGACGAAAGACAUGCUAGUCUCUAUAUGUUGGGCACAUCGCGCCGAGUUCUUUGAAGACCUAACUGAUCUCGUCCCAGUCCAGCAGGUUGUCAUUGUUCUUGUCAUUUCUCUUCAAAAUAGCCCUCACAUCGGUUUCAGUGAAGGGUCGAAAGGUGUUAACGGGGGGCUUGCACACCACGAGAGGCAUACUCUACCUAUGAAAAAUGGAUCAAGAUAAAGAUUAAUAUGUCCACUGUAUGCGGGAAAGGUGAAGGAGAAGUACUAUAACCUUGGACUUGGAGGCAAUACCAACUUCAAUUUAUAUACAAUUCUUGGCUCAUUUUGGUCAAAUUAUUCCAAGCUAUCUUGAUCUUUGAAAGCUACCCAUGAUUUCAUCUUGAUGAUAAUGCAGAGCCAACCACUCUCUUCUAUCUUGGACUAAGUGCCUGCAAAACGAAAUUGGGGACUCGCUCCCUCGUGAUCACUCCAAGGCUCAAGUCAGUUCACCGGGUUAUUAAUGCUUAAUGUAUGUAAUUGAGGACUCAAAGGAAGAGAGGAAUCCCUUUAAUCGUCUUGGUUGCCCCUUUUAUCCUCUUGUUAAGAGAAGAAUUCCCUUUUCAAACCUCCGGGAUCUGGAUCCCGUCCUUUACGGAGCCAUGAUCUUGAUGGUAUGGAUACGGUAAUCAUUUUUCGAGGGGUUCAGGAUAAUCCCCACCUCCAUGAUCUUUAGAACGAUGAUUGAGGCCGAGGAAUCCGUGGAAUCUUCGUUGAGCAAAAGGCUAGUCAGUUUGUUGAGGCGUAUCUGCCACGUGUCCCUCCCGGACUUAGGUUGAAUGGCAACCUUGGAUUGGCUCCCUGGCGGACACAUGUCUUUGCUAUUAGUAGCUGUAUUCCCGGGGUAUUGGAGUAAUUAUGAAGCCGAGGGCAUUUUCCCUCAUCACAUCACGUCUUUUAUGUUUUCAGAAUCCUUAUCUGGUAGCAAAAGAUUGACUAAGAAGUUCCAGUUUAAUCAAAAACAAAUUCAUUUUCUAACAAACUUUGAUAACUAUUAUUGCAUCAUUAAUUGGUCUUUCUCUUCUCUAUACUUCUCUCCCUGGAUGUUAAUAUAUUUAUGACUCUGAUAAUUCAUAUAUUACAUAUAUUAAUUGAAAAAGGGAAAAAAAAGGAAAAGUAUGGCCAAGAAUAUUUUAGCCCCACUAUAACUUUAGUUAGAUUCCAAUCAUAAUUCAUGUAUAUUACAUAUAUUUGUUAUUUGGUUAGAAACUAUGGCCAACAUUUUGCCAACUUGUUGGAUGCCUUUUCUUUUAGUUGAUAUCAUUUUUCCAUUUGAAAUGAUUCUUU
Molecule: long non-coding RNA, 4595 nt
Organism: Diospyros lotus (date-plum)
Lineage: Eukaryota; Viridiplantae; Streptophyta; Magnoliopsida; Ericales; Ebenaceae
Exons: 3
Source: RefSeq, a predicted model, not a curated record